This 716-nucleotide long non-coding RNA is filed under the name Homo sapiens (human). RNAcentral's name for it is "non-protein coding MIR99AHG:124". Lineage: Eukaryota; Metazoa; Chordata; Mammalia; Primates; Hominidae. The record is from RNAcentral.
GUGUAGAACCCUUUUCUCAGGCAAAACCUAACAUCUGACCGCACCCUUUUUGCUAUUAAAAAAAAAAAAAAGCUUCUAUUUUUUUCCUCCUGUCGUUAAGAUAAAUUCUCCAGUAGACAACCUCUCCCACUAAUUGUGUAUUAGCAACGUAUUUUAUCUUGAGAGCUUGUACACUGGGCUCUCAACGUGGUGUGGAAGGUAGCCUGUUACAGUGCUGGAUUCAUAAAAGGGCCUUUAUGGUUUGUGAAAGAAUAUCUGUGUGCUUAGGGAGGAAACUUUUUGAUCUGCAGAAAAGCCAGAAGACAUCUAGGACAUCCAUAAAAAUUCAUCAGAGAGCAUUUUACUACUGAGCUGCAAAGGUAGGAAAAAUAAAUUUUUUUUGGUUAGAAAAUAUACUUCUUUCAUCUGCGUUUCAAUAAUUUAUUCCCCUUGUUAGAUAUACAUGGAAUUGAUAUUGCUUAUUCUGACUAAGUGAAAAGUGUUAUUUCUACUUACUGCUCAAUUAGAAACAUGUAGUGUUUAAUUGUCAGUUUGAAUUUUUCUUUCAUACUAUUACAGUUUAUAUUUUACUAUAGGCAGAAUUUCCUCUUUAUCCUAAAUUUUGAUAUUCUCCAUAAUUUCAUCGUGCCUUGACAUUGCUGUAUAUAAUUUCUAUACAUCAGGAAGGCAAUUCUGUGUGCAUGUGUGUGUGUAUAUAUAUAGUUAGAAGUUAGAAA